This 237-nucleotide long non-coding RNA is filed under the name Actinidia chinensis (golden kiwifruit). RNAcentral describes it as "long non-coding RNA (ACHI_LNC004637)". The record is from RNAcentral. Lineage: Eukaryota; Viridiplantae; Streptophyta; Magnoliopsida; Ericales; Actinidiaceae.
CAGAGGAGAGAUUGGGUGCAAUUUUGCUGGGCAACAUAUCCCCCUCCCGAAGCCCUAAUUUUGGCUGAAUUACUGCCCUGAGGAGUUAGAAGUAGAGAGAAUGGGAUAAGUUGAGUAGAAAGAGAAGAAGCAUCGAUGGCUAGCCACAUCAAUUAGAGAGAGAUAGGGGUAGAACAAAGGACCAAUUAGCGGUAGUUCUUAACUUCUUAAGAAUCUUAUCCCGGGUAGCAAUGGUAA